CCAAAUGGAAAUAGUACCACACGAAUUCCCUCUUGUAACUCCCAUAAAAGUCAUCAAGAAUUCGAACCGCUAAAUGCUGAUAGUGGCUUUGGCGAAGCAUCUGAAAACUUAAGAGAUUCAAAUGAGGAAAUUAUUAAAAAAGAACUACUUUUCUUAUGUUGUGGCUUUCUUGAAAGCUGCGGUUGUAAGGAGAGCAGUUCUGUUUUAAAAAAUGAAAUAUUUACUAAAAGGCUUUUUGGGACAAUGGAAGGUUUUGAGAGAAGUGAAGCUAGCGAGGGAAUAGUAGUCGAAUAUAAAGAUUUGGCUAUACUCCAUCCACACGUGAAACCGGACAGGCUAUUAGCGAUGUGCCAAUCAUUUCAACGCAUACUUCAAGAAUUUAGCCCUA
Zophobas morio is the source of this 388-nucleotide long non-coding RNA. RefSeq lists it as uncharacterized. The record is from RefSeq and is a predicted model, not a curated record. The transcript has 3 exons. NCBI's taxonomy places the organism in Eukaryota, Metazoa, Arthropoda, Insecta, Coleoptera, Tenebrionidae.